UGAGGAAUAUUGCUCAAUGGGCGAAAGCCUGAAGCAGCAACGCCGCGUGCGCGAUGAAGGUCUUCCGAUCGUAAAGCGCUUUUGAGAGGGACGAGAUAGGACGGUACCUCUUGAAUAAGUCACGGCUAACUACGUGCCAGCAGCCGCGGUAAAACGUAGGUGGCAAGCGUUAUCCGGAUUCACUGGGCGUAAAGCGCGUGCAGGUGGCUUCGUAAGUUGGACGUUAAAUCUUUCGGCCUAACCGGGAGGUGUCGUUCAAUACUGCGGGGCUUGAGGGUAGAAGAGGGGGGUGGAAUUGCCGGUGUAGUGGUGAAAUGCGUAGAUAGCGGCAGGAACACCUGUGGCGAAAGCGGCCCCCUGGUCUGCUCCUGACACUCAGACGCGAAAGCUAGGGGAGUGAACG
RNAcentral lists this ribosomal RNA (403 nucleotides) under uncultured bacterium. Its description in RNAcentral is "bacterial SSU rRNA". It matches the Rfam family "Bacterial small subunit ribosomal RNA", at positions 355 to 774 of the family's 1533-position model. The record is from RNAcentral.